RNAcentral lists this ribosomal RNA (906 nucleotides) under uncultured archaeon. RNAcentral's name for it is "bacterial SSU rRNA". It matches the Rfam family "Archaeal small subunit ribosomal RNA", at positions 1 to 919 of the family's 1478-position model. The record is from RNAcentral.
UUCCGGUUGAUCCUGCCGGACCUGACUGCUAUCGGAUUGAUACUAAGCCAUGCGAGUCAUUGUAGCAAUACAAGGCAGACGGCUCAGUAACGCGUAGUCAACCUACCCUAUGGACGGGGAUAACCUCGGGAAACUGAGAAUAAUACCCGAUAGAACAUUAUACCUGGAAUGGUUUAUGUUUCAAAUAAUUUAUUGCCGUAGGAUGGGACUGCGGCCUAUCAGUUUGUUGGUGAGGUAAUGGCCCACCAAGACUAUUACAGGUACGGGCUCUGAGAGGAGUAGCCCGGAGAUGGGUACUGAGACACGGACCCAGGCCCUAUGGGGCGCAGCAGGCGAGAAAACUUUGCAAUGUGCGCAAGCACGACAAGGUUAAUCCGAGUGGUUUCUGCUAAAGGAACCUUUUGUUAGUCAUAGAACCACUAAUGAAUAAGGGGUGGGCAAGUUCUGGUGUCAGCCGCCGCGGUAAAACCAGCACCUCAAGUGGUCAGGAUGAUUAUUGGGCCUAAAGCAUCCGUAGCCGGCUUUGUAAGUUUUCGGUUAAAUCCAUACGCUCAACGUAUGGGCUGCCGGGAAUACUGCAAGGCUAGGGAGUGGGAGAGGUAGACGGUACUCGGUAGGAAGGGGUAAAAUCCUUUGAUCUAUUGAUGACCACCUGUGGCGAAGGCGGUCUACCAGAACACGUCCGACGGUGAGGGAUGAAAGCUGGGGGAGCAAACCGGAUUAGAUACCCGGGUAGUCCCAGCUGUAAACUAUGCAAACUCGGUGAUGCAUUGGCUUGAUGCCAAUGCAGUGCCGCAGGGAAGCCGUUAAGUUUGCCGCCUGGGAAGUACGUACGCAAGUAUGAAACUUAAAGGAAUUGGCGGGGGAGCACCACAGGGUGAAGCCUGCGUCAUUGCUCACGCCGGU